Molecule: long non-coding RNA, 208 nt
Filed under: Phoenix dactylifera (date palm)
Lineage: Eukaryota; Viridiplantae; Streptophyta; Magnoliopsida; Arecales; Arecaceae
Description: long non-coding RNA (PDAC_LNC010498)
Source: RNAcentral
GUGAUUCCAAAUCACAAUUAUGAUAGUCUGACUAAUUAAAUCCUCUAUGUGUGUGACCCCGUAGGUUCUAUUUUGACUGGUAGUGAGACAUAUUGAGAUCUCCAUCUCAAUAUCACUGAAACUUCUUUCAGUGGACCGAAACAAUUUCAGUUCUACUCUUAGGGUUCACUGAUCACUAAGUGAAUGCCUUCGAGUCUCACAAUCCACU